GGUUUAUACCUGUCUCCUUUUUUUAAUCAAUGAAACUGAUCUCCCCGUGAAGAAGCGGGGAUAUUUAUAUAAGACGAGAAGACCCUAUGGAGCUUUAAACAAUUAUAGCACUGGCCCACACUUCUUAUUCUCCUGAGACAUAAUUAUUAUAUAGACCAACAUGACUAUUAGUUUUAGGUUGGGGUGACCACGGAGCAAAAAAAUAACCUCCAUGUUGAACGGAGCUACUCCUGAGCUAAAAACUACAACUUUAAGCACCAAUAAACUGACAUCAAUUGACCCAACAUGUUGACCAACGAACCAAGUUACCCUAGGGAUAACAGCGCAAUCCAUUUCAAGAGCUCCUAUCGACAAAUGGGUUUACGACCUCGAUGUUGGAUCAG
This 383-nucleotide ribosomal RNA is filed under the name Dendropsophus anataliasiasi (Goias treefrog). RNAcentral describes it as "partial 16S ribosomal RNA". It matches the Rfam family "Bacterial large subunit ribosomal RNA", at positions 2007 to 2540 of the family's 2925-position model. The record is from RNAcentral. Lineage: Eukaryota; Metazoa; Chordata; Amphibia; Anura; Hylidae.